Molecule: ribosomal RNA, 222 nt
Filed under: uncultured bacterium
Lineage: Bacteria
Description: partial 16S ribosomal RNA
Rfam family: Bacterial small subunit ribosomal RNA
Source: RNAcentral
CGACGUAAAGAACUUGCCUCACAGCUAGGGACAACAUUUAGAAAUGAAUGCUAAUACCUGAUAUUAUGAUUUUAAGGCAUCUUAGGAUUAUGAAAGCUAUAAGCACUGUGAGAGAGCUUUGCGUCCCAUUAGCUAGUUGGAGAGGUAACAGCUCACCAAGGCGAUGAUGGGUAGCCGGCCUGAGAGGGUGAACGGCCACAAGGGGACUGAGACACGGCCCUU